AAGUCGUAACAAGGUUUCCGUAGGUGAACCUGCGGAAGGAUCAUUAAUAAUUUGCUGAACCUAGCGUUAGCGAGGUUCUGCGAUCACUUAUAUUUAAAACCCAACUCUUAAAUUGUAUAAUUAUGUAUUUUUUUUUAAUAAAAAUUAAAGAUCACUUUCAACAACGGAUCUCUUGGCUCUC
RNAcentral lists this unclassified non-coding RNA (181 nucleotides) under Glomus sp. Its description in RNAcentral is "partial internal transcribed spacer region". The stretch from base 1 to 46 matches the Rfam family "Eukaryotic small subunit ribosomal RNA", at positions 1786 to 1831 of the family's 1831-position model. Lineage: Eukaryota; Fungi; Glomeromycota; Glomeromycetes; Glomerales; Glomeraceae. The record is from RNAcentral.